GCGAACGGGUGAGUAAUGCUUCGGAAUCUGCCCAAUGGUGGGGAAUAACCACCCGAAAGGUCGGCUAAUACCGCAUAAGUCCUACGGGGGAAAGCAGGGGAUCGCAAGACCUUGCGCCGAUGGAUGAGCCGAAGUCGGAUUAGCUAGUUGGUAGGGUAACGGCCUACCAAGGCGACGAUCCGUAGCUGGUCUGAGAGGACGACCAGCCACACUGGGACUGAGACACGGCCCAGACUCCUACGGGAGGCAGCAGUGGGGAAUAUUGGACAAUGGGGGAAACCCUGAUCCACCGACGCCGCGUGUGUGAACAAGGCCUGCGGGUUGUAAAGCACUUUUAGUGGGGAUGAAAAGCUCAGGGCUAACACCUCUGGGUCUUGACCUAGCCCAGAGAAAAAGCACCGGCUAACUCUGUGCCAGCAGCCGCGGUAAUACAGAGGGUGCGAGCGUUAAUCGGAAUUACUGCGCGUAAAGCGUGCGUAUACGGUUAUGUAAGUCGGGUGUGAAAGCCCCGGG
This 513-nucleotide ribosomal RNA is filed under the name uncultured bacterium. Its description in RNAcentral is "bacterial SSU rRNA". It matches the Rfam family "Bacterial small subunit ribosomal RNA", at positions 98 to 607 of the family's 1533-position model. The record is from RNAcentral.